Molecule: ribosomal RNA, 88 nt
Filed under: Vibrio parahaemolyticus
Lineage: Bacteria; Pseudomonadati; Pseudomonadota; Gammaproteobacteria; Vibrionales; Vibrionaceae
Description: partial 16S ribosomal RNA
Rfam family: Bacterial small subunit ribosomal RNA (bases 1-79)
Source: RNAcentral
UACCACUUUGUGGUUCAUGACUGGGGUGAAGUCGUAACAAGGUAGCGCUAGGGGAACCUGGCGCUGGAUCACCUCCUUAAGCGAUGAU